This 438-nucleotide RNase P RNA is filed under the name Rhizobium deserti. Its description in RNAcentral is "Bacterial RNase P class A". It matches the Rfam family "Bacterial RNase P class A". Rfam says of the family: Ribonuclease P (RNase P) is a ubiquitous endoribonuclease, found in archaea, bacteria and eukarya as well as chloroplasts and mitochondria. Its best characterised activity is the generation of mature 5'-ends of tRNAs by cleaving the 5'-leader elements of precursor-tRNAs. Lineage: Bacteria; Pseudomonadati; Pseudomonadota; Alphaproteobacteria; Hyphomicrobiales; Rhizobiaceae. The record is from Rfam by way of RNAcentral.
CCAGUUGGCCGGGCAGCCGCGCUUCACCAAUGCCGAAAGGCGGUGAGGUGAGGAAAGUCCGGGCUCCACGGAAACACGGUGCCGGAUAACGUCCGGCGGGGGCGACCCCAGGGAAAGUGCCACAGAAAGGAAACCGCCCCGCUUUCUGAUCCGCUCGUGCGCCGAGCGGCUGAGAUAGCGGGGUAAGGGUGAAAGGGUGGGGUAAGAGCCCACCGCGCUUCUGGUAACAGCGGCGGCAAGGUAAACCCCACCGGGAGCAAGACCGAAUAGGGAUGACGCGAAUCCUGGCGAAAGCCGGGAUCACAGCCUGUUUCUGGGCCAGUCAUCCGGGUGGGUUGCGUGAGGCGAUGUGCAAACAUCGUCCCAGAUGAAUGGCUGCCACGUUCCGCUGCUUGCAUCGGAGCCAUACAGAACCCGGCUUACAGGCCAACUGGCAAU